RNAcentral lists this ribosomal RNA (499 nucleotides) under Streptococcus sinensis. Its description in RNAcentral is "bacterial SSU rRNA". It matches the Rfam family "Bacterial small subunit ribosomal RNA", at positions 371 to 861 of the family's 1533-position model. Lineage: Bacteria; Bacillati; Bacillota; Bacilli; Lactobacillales; Streptococcaceae. The record is from RNAcentral.
AUGGGGGGAACCCUGACCGAGCAACGCCGCGUGAGUGAAGAAGGUUUUCGGAUCGUAAAGCUCUGUUGUAAGAGAAGAACGAGUGUGAGAGUGGAAAGUUCACACUGUGACGGUAACUUACCAGAAAGGGACGGCUAACUACGUGCCAGCAGCCGCGGUAAUACGUAGGUCCCGAGCGUUGUCCGGAUUUAUUGGGCGUAAAGCGAGCGCAGGCGGUUAGAUAAGUCUGAAGUUAAAGGCUGUGGCUUAACCAUAGUACGCUUUGGAAACUGUUUAACUUGAGUGCAGAAGGGGAGAGUGGAAUUCCAUGUGUAGCGGUGAAAUGCGUAGAUAUAUGGAGGAACACCGGUGGCGAAAGCGGCUCUCUGGUCUGUAACUGACGCUGAGGCUCGAAAGCGUGGGGAGCAAACAGGAUUAGAUACCCUGGUAGUCCACGCCGUAAACGAUGAGUGCUAGGUGUUGGGUCCUUUCCGGGACUCAGUGCCGCAGCUAACGCAUU